RNAcentral lists this long non-coding RNA (294 nucleotides) under Phasianus colchicus (ring-necked pheasant). RNAcentral's name for it is "lncRNA (ENSPCLG00000002571.1)". The record is from RNAcentral. Lineage: Eukaryota; Metazoa; Chordata; Aves; Galliformes; Phasianidae.
AGGAUGGAAAAUGAAAAAUAUUUUUUAGUCAUUUGACACAUUCUUUCUAACUCACAUUCUUUCUAACUCACUUUUUUUUUUUUUUUUUUUUUUUUGUUCCUGAAGGUACUAUUGAAAGGCUCUGUGUAACUGCUGGUAUUGGCUGUUACUGGGAUGAAGCAGGGAAAGAACUAUAACUUGUUCUUGGACAUCAUUCAGAAGCUGCAACGUAGCCUGGAGGCCUCUAAUCCAGUCCUGCAAGGAGCUUGCUCUGAAAUGCAGUCCACACCCUUGCAGAGACAUUUAUCACAGUAA